Molecule: unclassified non-coding RNA, 334 nt
Filed under: fungal sp.
Lineage: Eukaryota; Fungi
Description: partial internal transcribed spacer region
Rfam family: Eukaryotic small subunit ribosomal RNA (bases 1-46)
Source: RNAcentral
AAGUCGUAACAAGGUUUCCGUAGGUGAACCUGCGGAAGGAUCAUUAACACUUUUAAUCAUCCGAAUGGGAAUUUUUACCAUUCACUAUUCUACCCACCUUUUUUGGACGAAUUUCUUUGGAAAAACAAAGAAAAGAAUUUGCAAGCUUUUCGCAAGCAAAGCUCUUUUUUUUUGCUUUUUUCAAUUUUUUUCAUUUUCAACUUUUUUUAACCCCAACCACUUUAUUACUAUACCAAUGACUGACAUGGCGAAGAUUAUUCCAUUCUUUGGAGUUUUCUUGCUUUUUACAAAAAACGCUAAGAAACAACUCUUAACAACGGAUAUCUUGGCUCUC